Molecule: long non-coding RNA, 364 nt
Organism: Erythranthe guttata (spotted monkey flower)
Lineage: Eukaryota; Viridiplantae; Streptophyta; Magnoliopsida; Lamiales; Phrymaceae
Source: RefSeq, a predicted model, not a curated record
CUCUUCUAAUCUUAGCUUAAUUUCCUAAACCGACACCUUAUUAUGUAGGACACAUGGAGAAGCCUAGACAUCAUUCAUCUCGAGAUCGUGACUACCGCAGCUCUUCUUAUUCAUCGAGAGAUAAAGACCGCAGGAAACAUCAUUCAUAUGCUUGAACUGAGGCCUUCGUUUGUUUUCGGCUGUUCUGCUCCAUGAUGGUAUCAUAAUACUUGUGGGCACAUACAUAUACAAGCAGUUGAAAUGUGAUGCGCAUCCAUUGAGCGAAUGUGGAUAUGCGAGAGGGAGAUUCAUUUUUGUUGGCUGUAUGUAUGACUGAAAAUACAUAAAAAGUUCAGUGACUGUAUUAUUAUUAUUAUUACACAUA